This 221-nucleotide ribosomal RNA is filed under the name uncultured bacterium. RNAcentral's name for it is "partial 16S ribosomal RNA". The stretch from base 1 to 192 matches the Rfam family "Bacterial small subunit ribosomal RNA", at positions 118 to 311 of the family's 1533-position model. The record is from RNAcentral.
UGAGCAAUCUGCCCUUCACAUCGGAAUAACCAUUGGAAACGAUGGCUAAUACCGAAUAUGACUUCGGAUCGCAUGAUCUGAAGUGGAAAGCUCGGCGGUGAAGGAUGAGCUCGCGGCCUAUCAGCUUGUUGGUGAGGUAAUAGCUCACCAAGGCGAUGACGGGUAGCCGGCCUGAGAGGGUCGACCGGCCACACGUGGGACUGGAGACACCGGCAGUACCG